UACAGAGGUCCCAAGCGUUGUUCGGAUUCACUGGGCGUAAAGGGUGCGUAGGUGGUAAGGUAAGUCUGAUGUGAAAUCUCCAAGCUCAACUUGGAAAUGGCAUUGGAAACUGCUUUGCUUGAGAUUUGGAGGGGGGACUGGAAUUCUCGGUGUAGCAGUGAAAUGCGUAGAUAUCGAGAGGAACACCAGUGGCGAAGGCGAGUCCCUGGACAACAUCUGACACUGAGGCACGAAAGCUAGGGGAGCAAACAGG
This 253-nucleotide ribosomal RNA is filed under the name uncultured prokaryote. Its description in RNAcentral is "partial 16S ribosomal RNA". It matches the Rfam family "Bacterial small subunit ribosomal RNA", at positions 524 to 776 of the family's 1533-position model. The record is from RNAcentral.